RNAcentral lists this long non-coding RNA (933 nucleotides) under Musa acuminata (dwarf banana). RNAcentral describes it as "long non-coding RNA (MACU_LNC008875)". Lineage: Eukaryota; Viridiplantae; Streptophyta; Magnoliopsida; Zingiberales; Musaceae. The record is from RNAcentral.
GCAUCCCUUUUCUUCACGAUCAGUAGAUAUAUCUCCGUGGCACUCCUCUGAGUCCACCUCCAUCCUAACUGAUGCUUGAUUUUGGGUAGCUAAGUCCCUCUGGACUUGUCGUCGCUUCCUCGCCCCUUUCGACCCCCUGCUUCAACACCUCUGUGUUCUCCAAGCAGUCUGUUUGGUCGAUGGAAAGACAGACUGCAACUCCAAUGCGUGGCCUCUGCCAUCACGUUGUAGAAUUUGCACCGAUUCUGUUCUCCUUAGCUUCCUUGGUAGCAACGUUCGCUUACUCGACCUUGUCCUCUGACUUGUCGGGCUCCCUUAAGCGAAUAUGAGCUCUGGAGCAGUCCAACUCUCCAGCUGCUUCAAUCAUACCUCUGCAUGAUCAAGUCCCUCCCAUGGAACUCACUGGUACUUGCAUUCGAACUUUUCCCUUGGUGGAACACAGCCCCCAUAUGCUGAUGACCAAGGCUUUCAUCCGAUGCAAAAUUUGAUGCACGCACGGAAGACCCGCCUCUGCGGUACCAUGGCCUUCACUCCUUGAAUCCAUAGCCCUUCUUGCCGUCAUGUUGUUCACCGAAGUGGAGCUCCCAGUAGCUCCCGAUCAUACCUCCAUAUGAUCUCGUCCCUCACGGGUCUAGGUCGUGUGUAUCGCAUUGCCACGAACUGUUCCACCACGAUCCACUGCACCAUGUCGCCUCCUGGUGACAUCUCCAUUGCAUUCUGAUCCUUGUGGAAUAAACUCGAAUUGUGAACCCUCCAUGUGUGGCCUCUACCAAUACAUCGCAGGGUCUCUUCCACCUUCGAUUUUGUUCGCUCCUUUGGCAAUCGACCUUCAUCCACCCACUCUUGGGUCACACCUAGAUGAAGCCCCGCUCUAGGACAGUCCGUCGCCUAGUAGCUCCCGAAGUCCCCCGACUUCGCUGCAAUUGGUGCACC